This is a long non-coding RNA of Nicotiana attenuata, 123 nucleotides long. RefSeq lists it as uncharacterized. The transcript has 2 exons. The record is from RefSeq and is a predicted model, not a curated record. Lineage: Eukaryota; Viridiplantae; Streptophyta; Magnoliopsida; Solanales; Solanaceae.
AAAAGACUUGAUUACCUCCUUUGAUGUAAAACUGGUCGAAGGAUUGCCUCAACAAGUCGAAGCUGAUUGCGGUGUAUUUGCGGCAUCAUUUGCCGAGUAUUUCAUUGAGGGCAAGACGCCUCC